AAGUCGUAACAAGGUUUCCGUAGGUGAACCUGCGGAAGGAUCAUUAACACGUUAUCCACGUACUUACCAACGAGAAUAGUUUUCAACCUACUCUCUUCUGACUAAAUGAACUGAGCCGUUACAGCGUAGGAUGGGAUGCUUGCGUCGACGUUGGCUGCUACUGAGUUCUACUAACUGCUUUUUGGCGUUAAUAGGAUUCGACAGUUGUAUUAGUUGGGAGUCUAAAGUCAUCGGUCUGUCGCCACUCCUGAUCAUCUGAUGACUACCCUAUUUUAACCAUUUCACCCCCUUUUUGCUAGUUGACUUUUAUAUGUUGCAUUCGAGCUUCGGCGAAGGUGCACACGUUUAAUUAUUUGAACGUUAAAAAUACAACUCUUAGCAAUGGAUAUCUAGGUUCUC
RNAcentral lists this unclassified non-coding RNA (399 nucleotides) under fungal sp. RNAcentral's name for it is "partial internal transcribed spacer region". The stretch from base 1 to 46 matches the Rfam family "Eukaryotic small subunit ribosomal RNA", at positions 1786 to 1831 of the family's 1831-position model. Lineage: Eukaryota; Fungi. The record is from RNAcentral.